Molecule: long non-coding RNA, 2332 nt
Organism: Artibeus jamaicensis (Jamaican fruit-eating bat)
Lineage: Eukaryota; Metazoa; Chordata; Mammalia; Chiroptera; Phyllostomidae
Exons: 6
Source: RefSeq, a predicted model, not a curated record
GUAGGACAAGAGAUUUCUGUAUAGGAUGGAGGGACGGUGUGGGUAGGCAUCAGAGCCACACAUUUGCAAGGGGCCAGGCUUCAGGGAAAUGGCGGAGGCCUGUGUGAUGUCUUGCUGCCCGAGCCGGAGCAGGCAGCCUCAGCCGGGGCGAUUCAAAAGGUGAUUCUGGCACUUGAAUACUAUCUGGAAGCGACUUGUCAUGCCUGCUUUGUGGAAUCAGUGUCCAAACGAAAUGCAAAAAAAUGCAGACUGUUGCAGCACAUAGUGGUUAUCAGUACUCCAGGGAGAACAAGAGGUGUUAAAGAAAAGAUAUCUUUGACCCCACCCAGGCCACCACGCUGCAUUUAAUUGUCAGGUCUUCUCUUGGCUGUGACACUUGGUCAGACUUUCUUUGUUCAUGAUGACCGUGGCAGUUUUGAGGAGCAUCAAUCCUGUUUUUUGUGGAAUGCCUCAGUAUUGACAUUUGUCUGAGGUUUUUCUGAAGGUUAGACUGGUGUUCGGGCUUUUUUGGGAGGAGGACCACAGGGGUAAAGUGCCACUUGCUCGUUAUAUCAAGGUUUGGACUGAUGAUGUUGACCUUGACCACCUGACUGAAGUAGUAGUUAAGAGGCGUCUCCACUGUGAAGUUCCCCUUUUCCCUCCGGUUCCACACCACAGUCUUUGGGAAGAAGUCUCUACGUAUGACCAACACUUAAAGUAAAUCUCUUAAAAAAUUUUUUCCAAAGUGGAUCAAGGUGCUUGUUUUGGAUGAAGCAAAUAAAUAUGUGGAGCCAAGGAAUUAAGGCCCAAGUCUCCAAGAUUUACCAGAAAUUAAUCCAGGUUGUGUUGCUUUCUGCCUGAUUCCAGUCCAUCUGCUGCUAGUCAUCCAUCCAUGAGAUCCCUUCCAAACUCUGGUGAAGAGGGAAGAAUCGGCCCUCGAAAGAGGUUGAUUUUGAGAAGAUUUUAAGUCGUCUUCGUCAGCUCAAGCUAUGGGGUGAGGAGGAUAAAGACCACACUCCACAGUGAGCCGUAUGCUGUCUAUGAAGUUCAUUACCAUUUUGUGGCCCAGAAGAGUGUGCAGCAGUUGAUUUUGAAUCAGGAUUCAUGUUGCUCAGAUCUUAUGCUUUCUUGGUGAUUCCUCCAUAACCGGGGUUUUCUCGGCAUUUUCUGGCAGCAGUUUGUAUUGACUAUGACGUAGGUAUAGUGGCUUUAUCAUUGAAUAAAUUGAAUGAUGUCUUGCUACCAAUGUAAAAAUUAUUUUGUUUAAAAAAUAAAAUAGUUGGAAAGAACAGGAGACAAGGAGGUGCCCAGAAAUGGCACUGGCCUGAGGACCUAGCCUCACAGGGGAGACAGCGUGAAGUUUGGAUCCAGAGUCGGUAGUUUUGUAUUUGAUUUCCUCUUGUCCUGGUUCUUCAAUAUUUUAAGUUGCUCCAGCCAAGACAUCUUUGAUUUGUUGUAUUAUGUGUGUUGGGGGCAAACGUAUUCAGUCAUUUGUGUUAUAGUAUGUGAGGUGAUCAGAAAACAGUGAUACAUAUGGGUUACCACCGAAAAUUUGGGAGGUCCCACCCCCCUUACACUGGAAAAGAGGUAAGCCCAGGGUCGAGUCUGUGCAAUAGAAUGCCCUGCAGUGACGGAGACACUGUCUGUCGUGCUGCCCGGCACCGCAGUGACAGGCCACACGUGGCUGCUGGAACGUGGUUGGGGCGACUGAGGCCUGAAUCUUCUAUUUCAUUUCAUUUUAAUUUAAACUCAAAUAGCCACAUGUGGCUAGUGACUGUUGUUGUGGACACCGCAGUUUAAAUAACAGUGAACCUUCCAGAGCUUCCACUUGCAGUUUACAAUGCCACGUGUGCAGGAAAAUGGACCACACAGCUGUCCUUUGGGUUUUGUCCCCGGUGCUGACGUCCGUCCCAGGCUGCCAUCUGCGCUUGGCCCACUUCAGCAUGGGAUUUCAUUUCCUUGCUCAUGAUGCCUGGUAGAAUCCGCCUUACAGCCGGUGAAACGGUGGAAAGAGAUAGAGGGAGAAACAGAGACUGGGGGAGGGGAAAGAGAGAGAGAGGGGGAAUGGGGAGAGAAAAGGAUAAAACAGCAACCAGUGAGCACAUCUUAAAGGGAAAUUCAUCUAGAUGAACUUAUGUGCUGAUCUCUCCCCGCUCCCCACAGCCCCCACUUCCUGGAAAAGCGUUCCUUCGGUUAUUAGAAAGCAAAACAUAAAUUGUCUUUAAAUCUGUGAUUGCCUUUUCUUUUCUUUCCUUUUUCUCUCCAGUUUCAUCAUGUAUUUCAGUCCUUCCAUUCUUUCUGUAGGUCCCAGGGCCUACUACUCAUAUUAUUUGGCCUUAGUACAAAAUAUACA